UUCCAAAUUCAGACCUGAAUCAAGCGUGAAUAGUGUGUCCAUUUUUGUCCGAACGGUUCAGGGUUGGACCUCUGCGGUCGUAUCCAACUGCGUUCGGCGAAGCAAUUUAAUAAAGACUUAAAUAUAAUUUUAUAUACAUAUUAAGUUGUGAAUAUGGUGAAACUGAUCCUCAAAAUAAGUUUAAACUGCCCUGGUGUGGAAUAAAUUUGUGUUAAAUUGAUCAUACUUCUUAAUUUACUUAUUUCAAUCAGUUUUAAAUAUUGUAUACUGCCUUAAUGAUAACAUCUAUAAUACUAAAAUUACGAGGUCCAAUUUGUCAGCCGUCAUCACGUAAAAACGAUGAAUCAAAGAAUUCAACUUUAUAUAUAACUAAUAUAGUACAAUGGUGUUGAUUAAAAAUUACACCACUCUAGGCCCAUUUGUUUUCCACGUAAUUAAUAUUGCCAAUAAUUAUGAAGUUCCGGAUCGAGUCCGACACCGAUACCAAUAGUAUAUUCACCUGUUACCUAUUACCUUAUCUGUACGUUCCGCAUCAGACAGGCGCACCACCAAACAGUGUAUUUAGAAUUUUGCUGUAUACUGUUGAGUAAAAAAUAUUCCAUUCCAGGCCCUUUUGUUUUCCAAAUUAUUAAUAUUACCAAUAAUUGAUAGGUCCCAGGUCGACGGGUUCAAACAGAAAGAUUUUGAAAGCAGAGAAAACUGUGCACCUUAUACAUGUUAUAAUCGGCAUGAAUUUAUCAGAUGACAAUACCAAUACUAAAAUAAGGCAUACGCAUAGUUAUAUAUCAGUCACGGACCCACGAUAUCACGGGUGUGUUCUAGUAUAUAAUAA
This 832-nucleotide long non-coding RNA is filed under the name Mytilus galloprovincialis (Mediterranean mussel). The record is from RNAcentral. Lineage: Eukaryota; Metazoa; Mollusca; Bivalvia; Mytilida; Mytilidae.